UUGCAUUUGCAGAUGGACCAUUCAAGUUUCUAGCCCCAUCAGCUUGACGGUAGGGUAUUGGCCUACCGAGGCAGCAACGGGUAACGGGGAAUUAGGGUUCGAUUCCGGAGAGGGAGCCUGAGAAACGGCUACCACAUCUAAGGAAGGCAGCAGGCGCGCAA
RNAcentral lists this ribosomal RNA (161 nucleotides) under Babesia sp. RNAcentral describes it as "partial small subunit ribosomal RNA". It matches the Rfam family "Eukaryotic small subunit ribosomal RNA", at positions 278 to 439 of the family's 1831-position model. Lineage: Eukaryota; Apicomplexa; Aconoidasida; Piroplasmida; Babesiidae. The record is from RNAcentral.